GGGUCUAUGAUGACAAACCUACGUCCUGAAGAGAGGUGAUGAUAUAAAAAUCAAUGCUCGGGUUGCGGUUGCUGAGGCCC
Molecule: small nucleolar RNA, 80 nt
Organism: Mesocricetus auratus (golden hamster)
Lineage: Eukaryota; Metazoa; Chordata; Mammalia; Rodentia; Cricetidae
Product: small nucleolar RNA SNORD115
Exons: 1
Source: RefSeq, a predicted model, not a curated record